UAGGGNNUCUUCCGCNANNGCNGUAAGUCCUAUGCAGCAACGCCGCGUAACUGAUCAAAGGCAUCGGCUCGUAAAGCUCUGUUGUCGCAGAAUGAACCGGUGUAUGAGUCACUGGAGACAUCUUGACGGAAUCCAGCCCCAACGCCACGGGUAACUACGUG
RNAcentral lists this ribosomal RNA (161 nucleotides) under Uncultured bacterium OL1_22C. Its description in RNAcentral is "partial 16S ribosomal RNA". The record is from RNAcentral.